Molecule: non-coding RNA, 96 nt
Filed under: Schleiferilactobacillus harbinensis
Lineage: Bacteria; Bacillati; Bacillota; Bacilli; Lactobacillales; Lactobacillaceae
Description: Lactobacillus harbinensis TPP sequence
Rfam family: TPP riboswitch aptamer (THI element)
About the family: Vitamin B(1) in its active form thiamin pyrophosphate (TPP) is an essential coenzyme that is synthesised by coupling of pyrimidine and thiazole moieties in bacteria. The previously detected thiamin-regulatory element, thi box was extended, resulting in a new, highly conserved RNA secondary structure, the THI element, which is widely distributed in eubacteria and also occurs in some archaea.
Source: RNAcentral
AACCACACAAGGGGGAGCCAUCUGGCUGAGAACGAGUAAUCGGACCCUUCGAACCUGUUCGUUAAUGCGAGCGUAGGAAUUGUGCGUGGUAUUGAA